Molecule: non-coding RNA, 74 nt
Organism: Parelaphostrongylus tenuis
Lineage: Eukaryota; Metazoa; Nematoda; Chromadorea; Rhabditida; Metastrongylidae
Source: the annotation of a GenBank genome assembly
ACGCUAGGUAGUGCAAUGGUUAGCAUAACGCUCCAGGAAAGGGUGAGAUCUGGGUUCGAAUCCCGGCUAAGGCA